UGGGGAAUUUUGGACAAUGGGCGAAAGCCUGAUCCAGCAAUGCCGCGUGUGUAAAGAAGGCCUUCGGGUUGUAAAGCACUUUUGUCCGGAAAGAAAUCCUUGGCUCUAAUACAGUCGGGGGAUGACGGUACCGGAAGAAUAAGCACCGGCUAACUACGUGCCAGCAGCCGCGGUAAUACGUAGGGUGCAAGCGUUAAUCGGAAUUACUGGGCGUAAAGCGUGCGCAGGCGGUUUGCUAAGACCGAUGUGAAAUCCCCGGGCUCAACCUGGGAACUGCAUUGGUGACUGGCAGGCUAGAGUAUGGCAGAGGGGGGUAGAAUUCCACGUGUAGCAGUGAAAUGCGUAGAGAUGUGGAGGAAUACCGAUGGCGAAGGCAGCCCCCUGGGCCAAUACUGACGCUCAUGCACGAAAGCGUGGGGGAGCAAACAGGAUUAGAUACCCUGGUAGUCCACGCCCUAAACGAUGUCAACUAGUUGUUGGGGAUUCAUUUCCUUAGUAACGUAGCUAACGCGUGAAGUUGACCGCCUGGGGAGUACGGUCGCAAGAUUAAAACUUAAAGGAAUUGACGGGGUCAUAGCUGUUUCCU
This 586-nucleotide ribosomal RNA is filed under the name uncultured bacterium. RNAcentral describes it as "partial 16S ribosomal RNA". It matches the Rfam family "Bacterial small subunit ribosomal RNA", at positions 355 to 1375 of the family's 1533-position model. The record is from RNAcentral.